GAGGGUAUAGCUCAAGUGGUAGAGUGAAUGCUUAGUGUGCAUGAGGUCCUGCGUUCAAUCCCCAGUAACUCCU
This 73-nucleotide transfer RNA is filed under the name Camelus dromedarius (Arabian camel). It matches the Rfam family "tRNA". From Rfam's summary of the family: Transfer RNA (tRNA) molecules are approximately 80 nucleotides in length. Their secondary structure includes four short double-helical elements and three loops (D, anti-codon, and T loops). The record is from Rfam by way of RNAcentral. Lineage: Eukaryota; Metazoa; Chordata; Mammalia; Artiodactyla; Camelidae. RNAcentral also lists the same sequence under 1 other name.